This 575-nucleotide ribosomal RNA is filed under the name uncultured bacterium. RNAcentral describes it as "partial 16S ribosomal RNA". It matches the Rfam family "Bacterial small subunit ribosomal RNA", at positions 355 to 923 of the family's 1533-position model. The record is from RNAcentral.
UGGGGAAUUUUGGACAAUGGGCGAAAGCCUGAUCCAGCAAUGCCGCGUGUGUGAAGAAGGCCUUCGGGUUGUAAAGCACUUUUGUCCGGAAAGAAAUCCUUGGCUCUAAUACAGUCGGGGGAUGACGGUACCGGAAGAAUAAGCACCGGCUAACUACGUGCCAGCAGCCGCGGUAAUACGUAGGGUGCAAGCGUUAAUCGGAAUUACUGGGCUAAAGCGUGCGCAGGCGGUUUGCUAAGACCGAUGUGAAAUCCCCGGGCUCAACCUGGGAACUGCAUUGGUGACUGGCAGGCUAGAGUAUGGCAGAGGGGGGUAGAAUUCCACGUGUAGCAGUGAAAUGCGUAGAGAUGUGGAGGAAUACCGAUGGCGAAGGCAGCCCCCUGGGCCAAUACUGACGCUCAUGCACGAAAGCGUGGGGAGCAAACAGGAUUAGAUACCCUGGUAGUCCACGCCCUAAAACGAUGUCAACUAGUUGUUGGGGAUUCAUUUCCUUAGUAACGUAGCUAACGCGUGAAGUUGACCGCCUGGGGAGUACGGUCGCAAGAUUAAAACUCAAAUGAAUUGACGGGGUCAUA